Molecule: long non-coding RNA, 748 nt
Filed under: Rattus norvegicus (Norway rat)
Lineage: Eukaryota; Metazoa; Chordata; Mammalia; Rodentia; Muridae
Description: long non-coding RNA NONRATT010854
Source: RNAcentral
GCGCCCGGCUGAUUUAAGACCGGUUGUGUCUACGCUGGCGGGAGCGCCCAUCCCGGGCAGGCCUGGGCCUCAGGGCUCUGGCAGCGAGGUGUGCAGGUUAGCGCUCGAUGACCCGGAGCUCGCGGCCACGCCGCGCUCGCCCUUAGGACUUCUUGGCGGCUCAGACGGUAGGACGGCGCCGGAGAGCGCGUUCUGCAUCUUGAUCAUCUCCGGCCUUGGAAGGGUCACCUCUUGUGAAAACAGUCGGCACGAUCAAUCUGCGUCCAGUGCAGCGUGCAGGGACGGCUGGAGGGCUCAAGCACGCCUGCGUCAGAGCUCGGCGCUCCUGCGCGUGUGGCCCCCGCUGCCUGCGCAGGGUGGGGGUGCAGCCAGAGGUCACGUCCUGUGGUCGCAGAAGGCGGGCGGCUCUGCUGAGGACCCCAGGGCGGUUGAAACCCUCGUGGCUGGGUGCCUAACUGGCCCGCAAAACUUUAUUUGUAGGUGUAGUUCAACAACAUUCUGAAUUGGUAAAACCGAACUUAUUGGUAAAACUUAACUAAAUAGCUUUUGUUGACAAGUGGAUUGUUAUUAAUUUUUGAUGUUUCGUGCAAGGCAGGAAUCGUUAUCGCGGCUUUGCAGGUGGAACAGUGUUGGCACCAGAAAAGCGAGCGUUUCACUUAAAACUCACACAGAAAACAUUGGGGUGGCAGAGCCACAAAUUAAUGCCUUAGCAUUGCGCCUCCUCAGCUGAUUCCCCUACACCACGUUA